UGAGUAAUGUAUGAGCAACCUGCCUUCAGAGGGGGACAACAGUUGGAAACGACUGCUAAUACCGCAUAAUGUAUUGAGGAGGCAUCUCCACGAUACCAAAGGAGCAAUCCGCUGAAAGAGUGGGCUCAUAUCUGAUUAGUUAGUUGGCAGGGUAACGGCCUACCAAGACUGCGAUCAGUAGCCGGACUGAGAGGUUGAACGGCCACAUUGGGACUGAGAUACGGCCCAGACUCCUACGGGAGGCAGCAGGUGGGGAAUAGUUGGGCAAGUGGGCGAAAGCCUGACCCAAGCAACGCCGCGUGAAGGAAGAAGGUCUUCGGAUUGUAAACUUCUUUAUGAGGGACGAAGGACGUGACGGUACCUCAUGAAUAAGCCACGGCUAACUACGUGCCAGCAGCUGC
Molecule: ribosomal RNA, 401 nt
Filed under: uncultured bacterium
Lineage: Bacteria
Description: bacterial SSU rRNA
Rfam family: Bacterial small subunit ribosomal RNA
Source: RNAcentral